This 337-nucleotide unclassified non-coding RNA is filed under the name soil metagenome. RNAcentral's name for it is "partial contains 5.8S ribosomal RNA, internal transcribed spacer 2, and large subunit ribosomal RNA". The stretch from base 3 to 121 matches the Rfam family "5.8S ribosomal RNA", at positions 36 to 154 of the family's 154-position model. The record is from RNAcentral.
GAAUGAAGAACGCAGUGAAAUGCGAUAAGUAGUGUGAAUUGCAGAAUUCAGUGAAUCAUCGAAUCUUUGAACGCACAUUGCGCCCCUUGGUAUUCCAUGGGGCAUGCCUGUUCGAGCGUCAUUUGUACCUUCAAGCUUUGCUUGGUGUUGGGUGUUUGUCUCGCCUUUGCGUGUAGACUCGCCUUAAAAUAAUUGGCAGCCGGCGUAUUGAUUUCGGAGCGCAGUACAUCUCGCGCUUUGCACUCAUAACGACAGCGUCCAAAAGUACAUUUUACACUCUUGACCUCGGAUCAGGUAGGGAUACCCGCUGAACUUAAGCAUAUCAAUAAGCGGAGGA